Molecule: ribosomal RNA, 1346 nt
Filed under: uncultured bacterium
Lineage: Bacteria
Description: bacterial SSU rRNA
Rfam family: Bacterial small subunit ribosomal RNA
Source: RNAcentral
GACGAACGCUGGCGGCGUGCUUAACACAUGCAAGUCGAACGAUGAAGGAAGAAGCUUGCUUCUUCUGGAUUAGUGGCGAACGGGUGAGUAACACGUGAGCAAUCUGCCCUUGACUCUGGGAUAAGCGUUGGAAACGACGUCUAAUACCGGAUACGACCCUCGGAGGCAUCUCCUGGGGGUGGAAAGAAUUUUGGUCAAGGAUGAGCUCGCGGCCUAUCAGCUUGUUGGUGAGGUAAUGGCUCACCAAGGCGACGACGGGUAGCCGGCCUGAGAGGGUGACCGGCCACACUGGGACUGAGACACGGCCCAGACUCCUACGGGAGGCAGCAGUGGGGAAUAUUGCACAAUGGGCGAAAGCCUGAUGCAGCAACGCCGCGUGAGGGAUGACGGCCUUCGGGUUGUAAACCUCUUUUAGUAGGGAAGAAGCGAAAGUGACGGUACCUGCAGAAAAAGCACCGGCUAACUACGUGCCAGCAGCCGCGGUAAUACGUAGGGUGCAAGCGUUGUCCGGAAUUAUUGGGCGUAAAGAGCUCGUAGGCGGUUUGUCGCGUCUGCUGUGAAAUCUGGGGGCUCAACCCCCAGCCUGCAGUGGGUACGGGCAGACUAGAGUGCGGUAGGGGAGAUUGGAAUUCCUGGUGUAGCGGUGGAAUGCGCAGAUAUCAGGAGGAACACCGAUGGCGAAGGCAGAUCUCUGGGCCGUAACUGACGCUGAGGAGCGAAAGCAUGGGGAGCGAACAGGAUUAGAUACCCUGGUAGUCCAUGCCGUAAACGUUGGGAACUAGAUGUGGGGACCAUUCCACGGUCUCCGUGUCGCAGCUAACGCAUUAAGUUCCCCGCCUGGGGAGUACGGCCGCAAGGCUAAAACUCAAAGGAAUUGACGGGGGCCCGCACAAGCGGCGGAGCAUGCGGAUUAAUUCGAUGCAACGCGAAGAACCUUACCAAGACUUGACAUAUACGAGAACGGGCCAGAAAUGGUCAACUCUUUGGACACUCGUAAACAGGUGGUGCAUGGUUGUCGUCAGCUCGUGUCGUGAGAUGUUGGGUUAAGUCCCGCAACGAGCGCAACCCUCGUCCUAUGUUGCCAGCACGUAAUGGUGGGAACUCAUGGGAUACUGCCGGGGUCAACUCGGAGGAAGGUGGGGAUGACGUCAAAUCAUCAUGCCCCUUAUGUCUUGGGCUUCACGCAUGCUACAAUGGCCGGUACAAAGGGCUGCGAUACCGUAAGGUGGAGCGAAUCCCAAAAAGCCGGUCUCAGUUCGGAUUGAGGUCUGCAACUCGACCUCAUGAAGUCGGAGUCGCUAGUAAUCGCAGAUCAGCAACGCUGCGGUGAAUACGUUCCCGGGCCU